CAUCCUCCAAGGCUAAAUACUCCUGACUGACCGAUAGUGAACCAGUACCGUGAGGGAAAGGCGAAAAGAACCCCGGCGAGGGGAGUGAAACAGAACCUGAAACCGUGUACGUACAAGCAGUGGGAGCCCCACCACUAAGCCAGUGGUGAGAACCCAUGACGCAUCCUUUGCUGAGGAUACGGUUAACGGAGCGAAAGCGACGUUCAACCGCAAAAGAAGCAGAGGGGGCUUAGUGGUGGGGUGACUGCGUACCUUUUGUAUAAUGGGUCAGCGACUUAUAUUCUGUAGCAAGGUUAACCGCAUAGGGGAGCCGGAGGGAAACCGAGUCUUAACCGGGCGUUAAGUUGCAGGGUAUAGACCCGAAACCCGGUGAUCUAGCCAUGGGCAGGUUGAAGGUUGGGUAACACUAACUGGAGGACCGAACCGACUAAUGUUGAAAAAUUAGCGGAUGACCUGUGGCUGGGGGUGAAAGGCCAAUCAAACCGGGAGAUAGCUGGUUCUCCCCGAAAGCUAUUUAGGUAGCGCCUCGUGAAUUCAUCUCCGGGGGUAGAGCACUGUUUCGGCUAGGGGGCCAUCCCGGCUUACCAACCCGAUGCAAACUGCGAAUACCGGAGAAUGUUAUCACGGGAGACACACGGCGGGUGCUAACGUCCGUCGUGAAGAGGGAAACAACCCAGACCGCCAGCUAAGGUCCCAAAGUCAUGGUUAAGUGGGAAACGAUGUGGGAAGGCCCAGACAGCCAGGAUGUUGGCUUAGAAGCAGCCAUCAUUUAAAGAAAGCGUAAUAGCUCACUGGUCGAGUCGGCCUGCGCGGAAGAUGUAACGGGGCUAAACCAUGCACCGAAGCUGCGGCAGCGACACUUAAGUGUUGUUGGGUAGGGGAGCGUUCUGUAAGCCUGUGAAGGUGGCCUGUGAGGGUUGCUGGAGGUAUCAGAAGUGCGAAUGCUGACAUAAGUAACGAUAAAGCGGGUGAAAAGCCCGCUCGCCGGAAGACCAA
This 996-nucleotide ribosomal RNA is filed under the name Salmonella enterica. RNAcentral's name for it is "partial 23S ribosomal RNA". It matches the Rfam family "Bacterial large subunit ribosomal RNA", at positions 454 to 1348 of the family's 2925-position model. Lineage: Bacteria; Pseudomonadati; Pseudomonadota; Gammaproteobacteria; Enterobacterales; Enterobacteriaceae. The record is from RNAcentral.